RNAcentral lists this long non-coding RNA (372 nucleotides) under Pocillopora damicornis (cauliflower coral). Its description in RNAcentral is "uncharacterized LOC113667963". Lineage: Eukaryota; Metazoa; Cnidaria; Anthozoa; Scleractinia; Pocilloporidae. The record is from RNAcentral.
CGAACGUUCAGCAAGCGAACUGAACUGAAAUGAACUGAACUGUUUUGUUUUGUGUGAUUAUUUACUAUCGUUUAAAUUCUAUUAUCGUUUCAUUGUUCAUUCUUUUAAUCAUUUAUUAGAGCGUAUUUGAUCGUGUUAUUAGCCGCCUAUCAUGUUUAAAGCCUGUUGCUUACAUAAUCUCUGUAGUAUCACAUAUCGGAGUGUCGGAGUAAGUUGUCGGGGUAUAACCAUCUAGAGUUUUCUAUCGGAGUUAUUGGAGUUUUCGGAGUAACUGGAGUCACUUUCCCACGGAGUUUCUUUUACCCUUUUUACGCAGGAUCAAACUUUUCACCGCAUUGUAACACGUUGUACUCAAUAAAAACUGGAAUGAGA